This 574-nucleotide ribosomal RNA is filed under the name uncultured bacterium. RNAcentral describes it as "bacterial SSU rRNA". It matches the Rfam family "Bacterial small subunit ribosomal RNA", at positions 497 to 1076 of the family's 1533-position model. The record is from RNAcentral.
CUAACUCCGUGCCAGCAGCCGCGGUAAUACGGAGGAUCCAAGCGUUAUCCGGAUUCAUUGGGUUUAAAGGGUGCGUAGGCGGCUUCUUAAGUCAGUGGUGAAAUCCUGCCGCUUAACGGUAGAAUUGCCAUUGAUACUGAAGAGCUUGAGUCCAGUUGAGGUAAGCGGAAUGUGUAGUGUAGCGGUGAAAUGCUUAGAUAUUACACAGAACACCAAUUGCGAAGGCAGCUUACUAAACUGUCACUGACGCUGAUGCACGAAAGCGUGGGGAGCGAACAGGAUUAGAUACCCUGGUAGUCCACGCCGUAAACGAUGUUCACUCGCUGUUUGCGAUACACAGCAAGCGGCCAAGCGAAAGCAUUAAGUGAACCACCUGGGGAGUACGAUCGCAAGGUUGAAACUCAAAGGAAUUGACGGGGGCCCGCACAAGCGGAGGAACAUGUGGUUUAAUUCGAUGAUACGCGAGGAACCUUACCUGGGCUUAAAUGUAGAGCGACAGAUUGUGAAAGCAGUCCUUCUUCGGACGAUCUACAAGGUGCUGCAUGGUUGUCGUCAGCUCGUGCCGUGAGGUGUC